This 68-nucleotide transfer RNA is filed under the name Proteomonas sulcata. It matches the Rfam family "tRNA", at positions 5 to 66 of the family's 71-position model. From Rfam's summary of the family: Transfer RNA (tRNA) molecules are approximately 80 nucleotides in length. Their secondary structure includes four short double-helical elements and three loops (D, anti-codon, and T loops). Lineage: Eukaryota; Cryptophyceae; Pyrenomonadales; Geminigeraceae. The record is from RNAcentral.
CACUGUAGCUUAGUGGCAAAGCGUUGCACUAGUAAUGCAAAGAUCAUGAGUUCGAAUCUCAUCAGCGC